This is a long non-coding RNA of Photinus pyralis (common eastern firefly), 907 nucleotides long. RefSeq lists it as uncharacterized. The record is from RefSeq and is a predicted model, not a curated record. The transcript has 6 exons. NCBI's taxonomy places the organism in Eukaryota, Metazoa, Arthropoda, Insecta, Coleoptera, Lampyridae.
GUGUUGGAAUAGUUUGACGAGCUACUGACUUUAUAGAACUGAUCUGCAAUUAUGUUAGUUAUGUCUUGCAGUUUAUUGAUAUAGCUCCGACUUUCUUCCAGACAUCAUUACUGGUAGUCUCUGGUGUCAUGGUUGUUACAUAAUGUUGCCAUGAAAUUCUUUGGGCUUCUAGUAUUCCCCUACGACACUGAGAUCUUCGUUUUUUGAACUCUACAAGAUUCUCCAACGUGACCACCACGGGACCAUCUUUCGCCUAUUGCCAGGUUUAGAUUUAGAUAUGCUGGCGUCAGCAGCGUUUAUGAUGGAAGAGCUAUCGUUUUUAUUGGAAGAUUAUGACCCCUGACUGUGAUAAUAAUGGGAAAAUGGUCACUAUGAUGUAGAUCAUCUUCCCCCUCCCAUUUCAGGCUAGUAUGUAUACCUGGUGAACAUACUGAUACAUCGAUGGAGUCAAAUGUGCCUGAUCCUGCAUUGAAAAAUGUAGCGGAGCCAUCAUUUACAUCAUUUGAUCUGGAGCCCCAAACGGUGUUGUGGGAAUUAAAAUCCCCAACAAGAAUAAAUGGUGGUGGAAGCUGCCCAAUAAUUUUUCGAAUUUCUUCGACAUCAUAAUUUGUAUUGGGAGUGUAAAUAUUACAAAGUGUACACGAUCUACUAAUUUCAAGUUUAACGGCUACAGCCUGGUAAGUUGUAUCUAAUUUAACUUGUUUAUAAGGUGUUCCUUUGUGAAUGAGAAAUGCUACUCCUCCACAGGCUCUUGCAGGUUUUAAAUGUGUUUCCUGAAUGGCAACACACAAUGGUGUGUGCCUUUGUAUGAGUAGUUUUAGUUCAUUUAAGUUGUUGGAUAGUCCUCUACAAUUCCAUUGUAUAAUUUUUGUACCCCUUUCGAAGAUUUUUGUAUAAAAAGACAAUC